Molecule: long non-coding RNA, 248 nt
Filed under: Setaria viridis
Lineage: Eukaryota; Viridiplantae; Streptophyta; Magnoliopsida; Poales; Poaceae
Description: long non-coding RNA (SVIR_LNC002110)
Source: RNAcentral
GUGAAUUAGCAAUUGUAUGGUUAUGUGUUCUGAAAGUAAAUCAUAACAAAAUCAUACCUUAAAGUAUUGAUGGACGAAUCUUAAAGGAAGAAACCUAUAUAGGUGCAAUGUACAUACCUAAAAGAGAAGACGAUGAAGAAAACCAAAGAACAACUAGCACUGUCGCACGAAUCUCUUAAAGCAAGGCAACAUGGAAAACCAAGGUUUGUUUAUGAUGGCGAAGGUAAGAGGUGAAAAAAUGAAUAGUU